AGUUAGGAAUUUUGCGCAAUGGACGAAAGUCUGACGCAGCAAUGCCGCGUGAGUGACGAAGGCCUUCGGGUUGUAAAGCUCUUUUAGUUGGAAAGAAACAAAUGACGGUACCAACAGAAAAAGCACCGGCUAACCCUGUGCCAGCAGCCGCGGUAAUACAGGGGGUGCAAGCGUUAUUCGGAGUUACUGGGCGUAAAGCGCUCGUAGGCGGUUUACCAAGUCUGGUGUGAAAUCCCCGAACUCAAUUCGGGAAGUGCAUUGGAUACUGGUAGACUAGAGUAUAGGAGAGGAGAACGGAAUUCCUGGUGUAGAGGUGAAAUUCGUAGAUAUCAGGAGGAACAACGGAGGCGAAAGCGGUUCUCUAGACUAUUACUGACGCUCAGGAGCGAAAGCGUGGGGAGCAAA
This 405-nucleotide ribosomal RNA is filed under the name uncultured Pseudomonadota bacterium. RNAcentral describes it as "bacterial SSU rRNA". It matches the Rfam family "Bacterial small subunit ribosomal RNA", at positions 353 to 772 of the family's 1533-position model. Lineage: Bacteria; Pseudomonadati; Pseudomonadota. The record is from RNAcentral.